CGUUCUCUCUCGCUUUGCCUCAAAAAAAAAAUCUUUCUCUCUCGCUCGUUUAUCCACCCCGUCGCUCUCUCUCGCUCGUUCUCCAUCCCAUCCAGAUCCCGCCGCCCCAACCCUCUCACCCUUCCCCUCCACAACGAGCCACCUCUACCAUCACGGCAAGUAGCACCGCCCCAACCCUCUCCCACCCUCAUCUCGGUGCUCCCCAUCCCUCAUCAUGCUAUCCAACGGGCUCCCUCCCUCUUCUGGUGCACAAAUACCGGCGAGAUCCGGGGAGACGGGGCACGUCGAUAUCGCCAUCAACCUCGCCGAGCUUGAUCCGGGGAGACCAGGGCCCCGGGCUGCCGUAGUGCUGGACGCUGUGGCCGUCUCCUCCCACUCGCGUGAGACGCGGGGCCUAUCGCGGGCUUACCCGGGAGGGUCGACAGUGGGCACGACCUGUACUGCUUACUCCUGGCCUCUCACGGCCUCCUCCUGGUCCACAGCUACUCCGCGAUCCAACUUGGCGGCAUUGAGAAAAGGCCCGUUUUUUUGUGCUCGAACUUCUUGCUUCUUCCCUUUGAUUAUGGGUGGGCGUGUGAUUUUGUGGUUGCUCGGGCUGGAUAGGACGUCAAGCUACAAAAGUAGUAGUAGCCAGAUUACUACUACUCCAAUUCUUUCUAGAUUACUUACCAGGACGUUGAACGAAUCCAAUUCUUUCUAGUUUGUCUGCUGAUGUAUAUCUAAACUUUUGUGUUCCUAACUAUGGCCCUCUGACUGUAAUGUUGUUGUUCUGAAUUUCCCCCUCGCCUGCUCCCUGAUCCAGGCCUGCUCUGGUGUCCCAAUGUUUUUUUGUUUGGUUUCCUGUGUGAUGCAUUUUGGAUUUGAUGAUGCAGGUGACUAGCCGUAGAUGUGGUCUGGUGUCCCAAGCUUCUGCCUAGAGGUCGCCAUGCUUCACCAAGAAUCAUGACGGUGCUGCCUUAUGCUCGCCAUGCGCAAAACUGGGGUCGUGAGGAGGAACACAAGGCCACGCAUGAGAAAAUUCAAGAUGGAGGUGGCACCAAACAUAACUUGAGCCUGAUUUUUUUGCUAGCUUAGCAUUUUGCUUUCAUAGGUUUGGAGCUCUAAAUUUAAGCUUUUGCUCUGAAUCUUCAAUUGAUCCAUAGGUUUCUGAUCAUUCCGAACAAAUGCUUGAACUCUUUGUUGUUUGA
RNAcentral lists this ribosomal RNA (1187 nucleotides) under Triticum aestivum (bread wheat). RNAcentral's name for it is "partial small subunit ribosomal RNA". Lineage: Eukaryota; Viridiplantae; Streptophyta; Magnoliopsida; Poales; Poaceae. The record is from RNAcentral.